GACGAACGCUGGCGGCGUGCUUAACACAUGCAAGUCGAACGGAAAGGCCCUGCUUUUGUGGGGUGCUCGAGUGGCGAACGGGUGAGUAACACGUGAGUAACCUGCCCUUGACUUUGGGAUAACUUCAGGAAACUGGGGCUAAUACCGGAUAGGAGCUCCUGCUGCAUGGUGGGGGUUGGAAAGUUUCGGCGGUUGGGGAUGGACUCGCGGCCUAUCAGCUUGUUGGUGGGGUAGUGGCUUACCAAGGCUUUGACGGGUAGCCGGCCUGAGAGGGUGACAGGCCACAUUGGGACUGAGAUACGGCCCAGACUGCUACGGGAGGCAGCAGUGGGGAAUAUUGCACAAUGGGCGGAAGCCUGAUGCAGCAACGCCGCGUGCGGGAUGACGGCCUUCGGGUUGUAAACCGCUUUCGCCUGUGACGAAGCGUGAGUGACGGUAAUGGGUAAAGAAGCACCGGCUAACUACGUG
RNAcentral lists this ribosomal RNA (468 nucleotides) under uncultured bacterium. RNAcentral's name for it is "partial 16S ribosomal RNA". It matches the Rfam family "Bacterial small subunit ribosomal RNA", at positions 28 to 507 of the family's 1533-position model. The record is from RNAcentral.